GCAAAUUGUUGAUUUGGACACUAUGGUUGGGUUCUGUAUUCAGGCUGGACAGGCUGUUGCUUUUGACCGCCUUCUUGCAGAGGCUGGUACAGCUGUUCUUGAAGAAGGUGCUCCUUUGAUACAUUCAUUACUGACAGCGGCUGCUAAGCAUUUACCUGAUGAAAUACCUGAGAAAAAGGAGAUUAGAAGGUUGAAAAGAGUAGCAAACAAUUUUAAUAUAGCUAGUGACCAUGACGCUGAGUGGGUCAGAUCCAUACUAGAAGAGGUUGGAGGUGCAAAUGAUGCUUCCUGGAGCUUGUUGCCUUAUUUGUUUGCCACUCUAAUGACAUCAAAUAUAUGGAAUAGUAGUGGCUUUAAUGUGGAUACUGGGGGUUUCAGCAACAACAUCUAUUGCUUGGCAAGGUGCAUUUCUGCAGUAAUUGCAGGAAGUGAAUUUGUUAGACUUGAAAGAGAGCAUCACAUGAGACAAUCUUUUUCAAAUGGUCAUGUCGGUGAAACAUUGGAUCCUGAAACACACAACCAAAUAACAGUUGAGACAAACAUAAAAUCCACAAUGCAGCUCUUUGUGAAGUUUUCCUCUGGAAUUAUUCUAGACUCUUGGAGCGAGAAUACCAGAUCUCAUCUUGUGUCAAAGCUCAUUUUCCUGGACCAGUUUUGUGAGAUCUCCCCUUACCUACCAAGAAGCACGCUGGAUGCGUAUGUUCCUUACUCCAUUAUCCGCUCAAUCUACAGUCAAUACUAUGGAAGUUCAUCUCCUGCGCCACUGGCACUACUUGGUGAUUCACCCCGUCAUUCACCGGCUGUAUCUCUGGCACAUUCGUCCCCUGCAAUGAGGCAGCAUCGCAAUGAUUCCACUCCUCAGUCAAA
RNAcentral lists this unclassified non-coding RNA (867 nucleotides) under Hevea brasiliensis (rubber tree). Lineage: Eukaryota; Viridiplantae; Streptophyta; Magnoliopsida; Malpighiales; Euphorbiaceae. The record is from RNAcentral.